UAUCAGAGUGGGACUAAGCCAUGCGAGUCAACGCCGAAAGGCGUGGCAUACGGCUCAGUAACACGUAGUCAACAUGCCCAAAGGACGUGGAUAACCUCGGGAAACUGAGGAUAAACCACGAUAGGCCAAGGUUUCUGGAAUGAGCCAUGGCCGAAAUCUAUAUGGCCUUUGGAUUGGACUGCGGCCGAUCAGGCUGUUGGUGAGGUAAUGGCCCACCAAACCUGUAACCGGUACGGGCUUUGAGAGAAGGAGCCCGGAGAUGGGCACUGAGACAAGGGCCCAGGCCCUAUGGGGCGCAGCAGGCGCGAAACCUCUGCAAUAGGCGAAAGCUUGACAGGGUUACUCUGAGUGAUGCCCGCUAAGGGUAUCUUUUGGCACCUCUAAAAAUGGUGCAGAAUAAGGGGUGGGCAAGUCUGGUGUCAGCCGCCGCGGUAAUACCAGCACCCCGAGUU
RNAcentral lists this ribosomal RNA (452 nucleotides) under uncultured archaeon. RNAcentral's name for it is "bacterial SSU rRNA". It matches the Rfam family "Archaeal small subunit ribosomal RNA", at positions 31 to 489 of the family's 1478-position model. The record is from RNAcentral.